Vicia villosa (hairy vetch) is the source of this 376-nucleotide long non-coding RNA. RefSeq lists it as uncharacterized. Lineage: Eukaryota; Viridiplantae; Streptophyta; Magnoliopsida; Fabales; Fabaceae. The record is from RefSeq and is a predicted model, not a curated record. The transcript has 2 exons.
UGAAAAAUGAAAAGUUGGAGAGAAAGGAAGAACACGUGAAAGAACAAGAGAAGAGAAGAGGAGCAAGGAGGAGGAAAACCCCAAAGCUCAAGGAGAAUCAAGAAACUAAUUCCAGAUUGAAGUAGCGGCCUAAGCGAUCGGUGAGGAUGACUCGUAGAGUUUAUCCAGUUAUGUUGGGUCGUGUCGGUCAUGCUCUGAUCUUGUAACACUGGGGGACGAUAGUCUUAGAGUUUACUAGUGAUACACUAUUUUGCCAUUAUUGUAUAAUGUACCGUUGAUUUUAUCGGAAAUGUUUUAUAACAUUGUUGAAUGAGUUUCCGCUGUGCUGAACAUGUAUUUUGAUAUUUUUGGAUUAUUCUUAAUAAAGCAUGACAAA